GAGAAUUAGUAACAGCAACAAAAAGUGAAAUCCCUUAAACUAAACCUAAACAAAAUAUUGUUCAUCAUUUCACGACCUAAGCGAAAGACUCCACAGUCGACCUAACGCGAAAGACUCCACAGUCGACCUAAACGCACUGCCGCCUUCAGUCUCUAGUCGCACUGCCGCCUUCAGUCUCUAGUCGCACUGCCGCCUUCAGCCCCUCUCAGUCGACCUAAACACAGCUCCUCUCAGUCGACCUAAACGCAGCCCCUCUCAGUGCACCUAAACGGGAAGCAGUGGUAGAUUCAAACCCAUGAAGAGAUCCUUCCAAGCCUGUAUAUGUAUUAACCUAGAGAGAAAACCAAUUGUGUACUAUGAAAACAAGAAGAAAUCGCAGUGAAGUUGAGAAGGAACUCGGGAUGUUGUUUUCAAAAGGAGGAAAACUGAGAUCGAGAAUUGGAAAUCAGACUAAAAAAUCAAGAAGCGGAUCAAAGUUUCAAAUGCUUGUAGAGGAUGUUCGGGAAGAAGUGCUUCUCUUGCAAUAAGAGGGUCUGGGGAAUGUGGAAUUCUAUAUUUGGCAGCCUCUGAAUGCCUGCUCACCAUUGAGUAAUAAAGUUCAAUUCAUUAAUAUUAGCUCUCCAUUUGUCCUAAUCGUGAGAGGAGGUUGCAGUUUUGAGGAUAAAGUUCGAACAGCUUAAAAAGCGGGAUUCAAAGCUGCAAUCGUCUAUGACAAUGAAGAUGGCGGCAUCUUAGUUGCAAGUAAUGACUUUUUUUUUACAACUUGGAUAGGCUUGUUGUGCUAGCUACUUCUAUGAAAUUGCUUAGUCUUAUAACUAAUAGUGAAUGAGUGUGAGCCUGCAUUUUCUCAUGAGUAAAUGUUGAUUAACCUUUUACUACUGGUUUAUUAAAUGUACUGAGUUAUCAAUAGAGUUCCCGAUGGGAUUAGACACUAACUCUGUUAUCUGCACAUCUAAAACAUGUAUAAUAGUAACCAGGUAGUAUAGAAUGGGAUGUGUGUCAAUUUGCUUUGUUCUUUAUGCUCAGUAAUUUUCUUAGGCAAACUAUUUUUAAUUUUUUUGGACUCAGAUGGAAGCUUCUUAUGUUAUAAUAUAUGAGUAAUAAAUUUUAUGAUUAUUGUUA
Molecule: long non-coding RNA, 1122 nt
Organism: Cannabis sativa
Lineage: Eukaryota; Viridiplantae; Streptophyta; Magnoliopsida; Rosales; Cannabaceae
Exons: 4
Source: RefSeq, a predicted model, not a curated record